RNAcentral lists this long non-coding RNA (1443 nucleotides) under Homo sapiens (human). RNAcentral's name for it is "HSALNT0297323". The record is from RNAcentral. Lineage: Eukaryota; Metazoa; Chordata; Mammalia; Primates; Hominidae.
AUAUUACCACUUUGCCUUCCCUUUCUUUUUGCUGGAAUGUGAUGAAAGGUGUGGACGCAUAGCAUCCCAAAUGAGAUAGGAGAUGCUGAGCAUGAAGACAAAAGCCUAUCGAAUGGGGUGUCAGAAAAGAAACAUCAAAAUAUCGAGGAUGGAAACUAGAGUCCAUGUUGGCCUUACAAGUCUUCUCUGAAUAUUCCAGAAACUAAUAGUUAAGAUUCUUUCAAAAAGGAGUAAAGCAGAGACAUUCAAAGAUGAACAGCAAUUCUGAAUGGAAAGAGGCCAGCUGUAAAACGUCAUAGAAGACCUGCAGUAGAGAUACAAUCCUGAGAAGAAUAUUUAGCAAGAAUGGGGUUUCAGAUUUCUGGUAUUUCCAUAUGGGUGGAGAUUGAAGAAAAAAAAGAAAAGAGCAAAAGUUUUCUCAUAAUGUUUUGCAACUUCUGCUUCCGGGCCCAGUCAGAGCCCAAAAGCAGCAAGAGAAGUAAAAUGAAAACACUGAACAUUUUUUUUGUUUUGUUUUGUUUUAAAUAAUAAUUAAUUUUCACUCACAAAACUGAGUAUACUUAAUUCAGCAAACAGGUACUGAGGACCUGCAGGCACUGGCAAAUAAGCAGAGACCCAGUGAUAGCCUACAUGAGCUCACCAGUUGCUGCAAGAGAGCCUGGUAAAGAGAACUCCAAGAGAAUUAUUCAAAGGAUCAUCACAGCAGAAGAAUACCUAUGCAGGUUACAAUGUCAAGAAAUCCACUAAUUCACAUGUCAUCAUCAUCAUCAAUCAUCAUCACAAAAAAGAGCAGAUUGAAAUGACUUGAAAAAUGCCAAGAAAAGGUGAUAAAAAGUGUGCAAUUCAAUGGAAAUAUUUUGUGGCAAAAGUGACAUAAGAGAACAUAAUAGAAGAAGUAGGAUUUGCCCAGAACCUUAAACACCUUGAGAAAGUAUAGAGAAAUUGUCAAUGUAACAUGCUCAAGAGGUAGCUACUUCCCUGACUUUCAGAGGAAAGAAGAACGGUAAAAGUCAAAAAAAGACUUCAAAGUGAAUUGUAAUAAGCAAGUUGUUUUAAAAUACUUUUUAUACUUUUUGGAAUUUCUACAAAAAUUUUAUUUUCAAUGUCCUUUUAGAUACUACAUCAUAAAGAGAAAUAUUAAAUAUUAAUUAUUAGUUACAUUCUAUAAUCUAUUGAAAUGUACUCAUGAUUCAUAUUGACGCCGCUCAAGAACUAUCCAUUGAAUAGACCAUAAAUGUGCAAAGAUUUCAAACUUUAAUAGGCACUGGAAGUCCAACUAGUUGCAUUUUCCUACUGAAUACAGCAUUUGCAUGAUUUUUAAGAGUUUAAAUAUUUCUAUCUCAUCAAGGCUGUAAUAUUUACCCACCACCCAGGAAGGGCGGUGGCUCCACAAGAAUUUCUAAAGCAAAAAUGUAUUAAAACUAUUAACAAGAAACUAAAAAC